Molecule: non-coding RNA, 69 nt
Organism: Rattus norvegicus (Norway rat)
Lineage: Eukaryota; Metazoa; Chordata; Mammalia; Rodentia; Muridae
Source: Rfam
GGGGAUUUAGCUCAGUGGUAGAGCGCUUGCCUAGGAAGCGCAAGGCCCUGGGUUCGAUCCCCAGCUCCA